Molecule: ribosomal RNA, 429 nt
Filed under: Bacteroidota bacterium
Lineage: Bacteria; Pseudomonadati; Bacteroidota
Description: Bacteroidetes bacterium partial 16S ribosomal RNA
Rfam family: Bacterial small subunit ribosomal RNA
Source: RNAcentral
UAGGGAAUCCUUGGCAAUGGGGGGAACCCUGACCGAGCAACGCCGCGUGAGUGAAGAAGGUUUUCGGAUCGUAAAGCUCUGUUGGUAAGGAAGAACGAGUGUGAGAAUGGAAAGUUCAUACUGUGACGGUACUUAACCAGAAAGGGACGGCUAACUACGUGCCAGCAGCCGCGGUAAUACGUAGGUCCCGAGCGUUGUCCGGAUUUAUUGGGCGUAAAGCGAGCGCAGGCGGUUAGAUAAGUCUGAAGUUAAAGGCAGUGGCUCAACCAUUGUAGGCUUUGGAAACUGUUUAACUUGAGUGCAGAAGGGGAGAGUGGAAUUCCAUGUGUAGCGGUGAAAUGCGUAGUUAUAUGGAGGAACACCGGUGGCGAAGGCGGCUCUCUGGUCUGUAACUGACGCUGAGGCUCGAAAGCGUGGGGAGCGAACAGG